UUCAUGCUACUGAUAGCACACAUUACUUACUUGUUUCCUUGUUUACUGUGUAACAAAGGAAAUGAAGAAAAAAUAUCUACAAAACCCACAGACAGGAAUUGUUAGGCAAGAGGACAACCUGGAACACAGCCAGCUACUGACAAACACAUCUGUUCUUUUAAAGAACUCCUUGUAUGAAAAUGGACCUUUCAAUAUUUCAUCAUGGGUAGAAGGCUCAUCAGACCUCACCCACCCUCCGGACCUAUUGACAGUUAAUGACUGGAACCUAUAAACCCUUGGGGACUUCUACCCACAAAAGACAAAAAGAAGAAAUAAAUUCGGGAAGAAAAGUAGUUUUAGAUUGAACAGAAUAAUAUUGAUUAUGGCACAGUGAAAAGAAAGCUCUUCUCGGGGUAUUUUGAGAAAGAAAGAAAAUGGAGCCACUGGAUCUUUAGGUCAGAGAACAGAAAUUAACAAAGCAUCCUCUGUGAUUCCUUCUUCAAAGAGCACUAAUUCAUGAUGAUACCCCACUGUUCACGUCAGCAUCCCAGGACAGUAACAAACAUCUGUUUUAUUCAACUUAUACAGGGAAAGCUUGCUAAAGCGAACUGUGAAAGCCUCCAACCUCCUGCAUCUGUUGCAAUGUUUGGUGGAUUAGAUAUGUGGAAAUCACUGCUGUCCUUCUGAGUCAGUGUUAAAUGGGAUCAGAUGCAAUUAAGAAUUAUUUCAGGGAUACAUAUUACAAUGUGUUGUGUGGGGUCAUUCCCUCCUGCCCAUUCUUCAGCAAUCUGUGUAUGAAAAUGACUCCAAAGACAUCUAUGUAUUUUAAUCAAUACCCUGUUUGUGUCCAGAGAAAAUUCUUUUAUUUACCUAUUUAACUUUCCUAUUAUCCCCUCAUAUGUUACUCUGUUUUCCUCUUUUAUUUUUUCAGUAAACUGCAAUUGACUUAUAGCAAAUUCAUUUCACAGACUGUCACCUCUUCCAUACUCCACUCCACAUCUUCAGUUCAGAAAACUUGCAGCUACACUCCAAAUUAAAUACAAACGAAACUCUGCACUCUGGUUCCUCUCAUUAGUACUCAAGGUUACUGAGCCUUUGAUAUCAAAUAAUAGAUACCCAAGCACAAAGUGGAACCUAUUUGUCACAGACAUGUGAAACACAGAGUUGACAUUAGUUUCAAACACUCUAGAUCCAUAGAUCCAGAGCCUCAGAUCCUCUUAUCAAUACCUGAAGCCUCUCUUCUUUCUUUGUACUGAAUUCAGUGUGAGCUCCCUCCUUCCCAUUGAGGAUGCCUUGCUCUUCCAUGCUUACUUUCUCUAAGCUUCGAUCGAUCUGAAGGUCUCUCAACAAAUCCAACAGAGGUUUGAACCAAAGAUGUCCAAAGACUCAACAGUCUACCCUAUUGUUUUCUACACAUGAACCAUUCUUUGGUUCUGAGAGAGAAAGCUGUGACUAACAACAGUCUUGUGUCAGUGUUCCCUUCCUCAUGUAUGUCACGGAGCCAACUGCACCUGAUAUCCACAUGAAAAGGGGUCAAGUUCCAAACCUGCUGCCGCCAGAAACCACAGAGUGCAUUAUUUUCUUAUUCUAUAUGCCAGUGGAUUGAGGGUGGGGGAGACUAAACAAACAAAAAUCAAACAGCUCGGUUUACAAAUCAUUCCUGACUUGACAUGGCACCGGGUGUGGAGGGGAAUAUCCUGGGCCUGUGUGGAAGCCGUAGCUUUGGGGUCCAAUGUGAGGAUGCUUGGUUCCUGUACUGUCCACUUUUAGUCAAUUUGUCACAACCCAGAGUCAUCAGCAUGG
Long non-coding RNA from Mesocricetus auratus (golden hamster), 1782 nucleotides. RefSeq lists it as uncharacterized. NCBI's taxonomy places the organism in Eukaryota, Metazoa, Chordata, Mammalia, Rodentia, Cricetidae. The transcript is spliced from 6 exons. The record is from RefSeq and is a predicted model, not a curated record.